This 2256-nucleotide long non-coding RNA is filed under the name Paramuricea clavata. The record is from RNAcentral. Lineage: Eukaryota; Metazoa; Cnidaria; Anthozoa; Malacalcyonacea; Plexauridae.
GCAUCAAAAAGUGUCGCCAAAAACAUGGCGGAUUUUCGCGCCAUAUGACGCCAUUUCCAUGACAACUGGUUCCUCCGGCUCAUGAAAUUACCACUGACCAGGCUCAAUUCUGAGCCCGCUGCGAUUUUCACACCCCCCUGGUUUUAUCAAAAAUAUUUUUGCUUUUCGAAGUUUUUGCAGCAAAUUCUCGUUGUUUUUUUAUAUUUUUUCGACUUUUGACCAUUGGUUCAAAGAUUUAAAAGUCGUGCACGCUAUUCUCACCCGCGAAAGACAACAAACCAACAUGAAAACCCCGAAAAAGUUAGGCAAAUGCGAUAUUUGAUGGCACAGCUAACAGGUAUUAAAUAUUUCACAAUUUACUAUUGAUAUGCUUUUAUUUUUAAUUUUUAAAAGAUAGUGGGAGUAAAUGAUAGAAUAUAAUCCAUUAGAUAACAGGCUAUUUGUAUAGUAUAACGUAUUAUUUCCCCCCUUGUAUUCAAACUUUGUCGUAAAAAAUACAGAAACUUUCUUUUUAUAUUCAAAGUUGUUUUUUUUUUGUUGUUUUUUUCACUUUUAUACUAGCUUUGUUAAAUUGUUGGCUGGCCAUAGUUUUUGUUAAAUAAACAAAUUUUGCUUUAUUUAAUUCAGUUGAAUCAGUUUUUUCCCUCAAAUCCUUUGGGUUUUCUAUAUAGACUGAUGACUGAAAUCUGACAUGCUUGAAACAAUGUGCUUCUAUCUAUAUUCUUUGUGUUUAUAUAUACUAGAGUCUGUGGUUAUUAUAGUAUGCAUAAUCUAGGGUGCCAGUAGAAGCUAGCCUAGGGGUACCAGAAGCUCAGGAUACUGUGGGAAACUUAUCUGGUAACAUGAUUUCUACCUAGAUUUCUGACUAAUAUGACAUGUUGGAUUUAGGAUUCUUGAACCACUAGAAAUAAGAUUGUACUUCUUGAAUGUUGGCUACCAAUCACAAGUGUAGGUAUUAAGCAAAGUAUCUAGAUUAUAGGCUUUAUAGGGUUGCACUGGAUCUCAUUAUACAGGCCAGAACUGAGAAAGUCACACAUGCUAGUCAGACAUCAAGUCAGAAACAAUUUAAUUGGUAGAUAAUGUCACUUCCAGUCCAUGCAGGUGGAUUUAUUUAGUGUUUUGUUCAUUUCAGUCAUCUUUUGGUGCACCCCUGUAUCAGAUGCAACUACCUGAAACUAAGAAAUCAAUGAACUUCAACAUUUCAGGUGAAAGACCUAUAAUAUUAUUUUUCAGGUAGUUGCAUGAUACAUUCAAGCCUUUAAAUAGUGUGGUAGCUUUUAAAAAGCAUGCUUUUCUCAUUUCCUCUCUUCACUUUCUUACUCUUUUGUCUGUAGUGAAAACUUUAUUUUACAAUAUUUUAAUUAUAUAAUCUCUUUUUGGUCUAAUUGCAGAAUUAUUUGAUGGUGAGACGUUCAUAGUUCAACCUCUUUUUUAAAGAAUAAUGAAUUAUCAUUUAUUAGAAAUAAUUAAUUUUGUUAGCAGUGAUAAAACUAUCAAGACAAAGUUAUUAUUAUGACUUUGUAGCCAGAUGGGUAUGAUUUUGCUUUGGCUGUUCAGCAUUUUGAUCCAUUGUGAUAUGUCUUGUGGUACCUGUGAAUGAUUUUACCUGCAAAAUGAAUGACAGAAUAUCAGAAUGUAACAUUAUACAUUAAGAUACACCCUUACACUGCAAUAUAAUUAUGUAAUAGAUGUUCUAGUGUGAAGAAUAUGGUCUUUGACACUCUUUGUAUAUAAUAAACAUGCUAUUGUGUAAUGGAAAUGAUCAAAUAAAGUUAUUUCUGCAACAGCCCUUGCAUUCAAACACCUUAUUUGUAUUUUUCUUGUUCAUGCUUGAGCAUCAGCCUCAGGAUAAACAAAUUCCAUUGGAUUUGUGAGGGCACUUGAACUAUAUUGGGUCAUUACAUGAAUUACAGAAAAGAUUUAGACUCCCACAGCCUGUGCUACAAGUUACAGCUGUGACAGUGUAGAGGGGGAAUCCACAAGUAAAAUGUGCUAGAAUAUCCAAAGGGNNNNNNNNNNNNNNNNNNNNGAGGGGGGGGGGGGGGGGGGGGUGAUACAAAUAAAAAAAUGAAGUUUAAUAUGACUUAAAAUUAUUAAGCAAUUGAGUGCACCAGCACUUUCCCCUUAACAAGUAAAAUUAUCUGGUAUUGGACUAAGAUAACAAAGUAGGGCAUAGUGCCCCUUAAUUAAUCACUUAUAAUAAAAGGUUUAAAUGCUGAAUUUUUUGAAAGUGCCAGAGUGGCAACUGGCAGGGUA